Molecule: non-coding RNA, 2105 nt
Organism: Pelodiscus sinensis (Chinese soft-shelled turtle)
Lineage: Eukaryota; Metazoa; Chordata; Testudines; Trionychidae
Source: RefSeq, a predicted model, not a curated record
UGUUUGGUUUGCAUGAGGUUUGGGAAAAAAAGACUAGUAAGUUAAUAGGUUUGUUACAGUGGAAAGGAGAGGGCAUCUUUGGCAGGAACCUAGGGUGAGGUCAGAGGACUACUUUGUCCUUGUAGAAAGUGGUGAAAGGUGGGUCUGCCAUGAGUGCAGCAAUUUUGCUAACUCUCCUGGCAGAUGUGAUUGCCACUAGUAGAGCCACCUUUAUGGAAAGGUGGAGUAUACAGCAGGUUGCCAUAGGCUCAAACAGUUUAUAAGUUAAGGUUCUUAGAACCAAAUUGAGGUCCCAGGCAGGAGCUGGAGGUUUGAUUGGUGGAUAGAUGUUCUGCAAACCCUUGAAGAACUUUCUGGUCAUAGGAUGUGUAAACAGCGACUUGCUGUCUAUUGGCUGGUGUAAAGCAGUUAUGGCAGAGAGGUGGACCUUCAGUGAACUGAGUGAAAGUCCAGAGUUUUUUAGUUCGGUUAUGUAUUGCAGGACCGCAGGUAAUGGAGCGGAAGAUGGGUCGAGGUUGUGGAGAUGAGACCAAGUGGAGAACUGGCACCACUCGUACAGGUAAGUUUUGCAAGUGAAUGUUCGACUGCUAAGGAGAAUCUGUUGAACAUCAUCUGUGCAUUCUGUUUCUAGUAAAGUGAGCCACUAAGGAGCCAGGUCUAAAGGUUCAUGGUGUGGAGAUGAAGAUGCUGAAGGCAACUCCGAUAUUGAGCAAGGAGAUGGGGAAGCUAUGGGAGUGGGCGAUUGGCUGAUAUAUGCAGUAGGUGGGACGUCACAAUUGCAAAGACCUUGGAAAAGACCCUCAGCGCAGUGGAUAGGCCGAAAGGAGCCUGGAUGCCCAGCAUUUUAAGCGUGACCCUGGAGUCUUUGAGGAAAUGUAGAGAAGCGUGUGUGCCAUCAGCAAAGAGCUUCGGACCCUCGAAUGGAAGGUCUUCCACCUUUGUCUGAACUAACUUAGGGAAGCCAGAGAGGUAGAGCUAGGAGGCUCUUCUCAGAGAUGGCCAAGGCUUGUGACGCUGUGUCAGCUGAAUCCAGAGCAGCUUGGAGGGCUGUUCUGGCUACCAAGAGUCCUUCAUUAGUGUUUGCUCUCAUUUGUUCUUUUUUUCCCUCUGGGAGGAAUUGAAUGAAGUCUGCAAUUUGCUGAAAAAUGGGGUGAGUGUAUUUUGCUAGCAUCACAGUGUAAUUAGCAAUACGUAGCUGUAGGGAGGCAGAGGCGUAUGAUUGUUUGCCCAUGAUACCCAAACAUUUCCACUCUUCAAUCAGGAGGGGCAGAUUUGGCAAUGGUUUACUUGCUCCUCUGAUUUUAUGCUGGGUCUCUGGCAGUGUGGUUAGCAAGACCUUGAGGACCUCAGCUACCCUCUUAAAGAGGUCUUGGAAUGCCUUGAAAUUGUGCCUGGAUGGGGCUUGUAGAGGCAUGAGUGUGUCCACUGGGGAGGAAGGAGAAAUCUGGGGAAGUGGGUGAAAGGUGGUUGUGGAGUCCUCGUCACUCAGUGGCUGAUGGAAAUCUGGUCCCCUGAAAUGUCAAGGGACACAGUGGAUAUAGGCCUCAAGUGGAGCUGGGCAACAUGGAGAUGCUGUUGUUACUGAGCUCUGUGAAGUGCCCAGGGGUCACUUGGUGGUAGCCAAUGCGCAGGUUGCCAUUGUAGUAAGGCUAGUUGUAAGGGAGGGAAUUUGUGCCUUGGCGUAGAGUGUCUGGGAGAAGUUGAGGUCACACUGGAGGACUGAUCCUUCUCACCAGAAUACAGAGGUAUGAAAGUGCCAGGCACGGACAUAAAAAAAAGCCUCAUAAUGCGGGGAGGAAUCAGUGCCAAAUAAGGGUGUCACAGACACUAAAGAGAUCAUAGAAUUGUCUGUGGACAUAUAAGGGCAAAAAAGAAGCACCAGUGGUAAAGACUAUUGUGCCAGUAUAUGCUUUGGCAUUACCAGGAGAGGGAGGCAGUAACAGUGCCCUGGUCCUUUAUAUGCAGCACUGCUCAGUGUCGGUAAGACCGAUGAUGCUGUUGUAGCCCUGUGCUGUUUGGCUGCGACAGGCUGGGGCUUAUCAGCAUGUUUAGGCACACUGACCAGGUUCUUAGACCCUCGGGGCGCUGUGGGUGAAAACUGCCCU